GGAGCCAUCCUUGGGAUACCACCCUUGUAGUACUGGGACUCUAACCAUAGGCCAUGAAUCUGGUCUUGGGACACUGUCAGGUGGGCAGCUUGACUGGGGCGGUCGCCUCCCAAAAGGUAACGGAGGCGCGCAAAGGUUCUCUCAGUACGGUCGGAAAUCGUACGUAGAGUGUAAAGGCAAAAGAGAGCUUGAUUGCAAGACAUACAGGUCGAGCAAGGAUGAAAAUCGGACUUAGUGAUCCGGUGGUUCUGCGUGGA
This 257-nucleotide ribosomal RNA is filed under the name Clostridioides difficile. RNAcentral describes it as "partial 23S ribosomal RNA". It matches the Rfam family "Bacterial large subunit ribosomal RNA", at positions 2182 to 2437 of the family's 2925-position model. The record is from RNAcentral. Lineage: Bacteria; Bacillati; Bacillota; Clostridia; Peptostreptococcales; Peptostreptococcaceae.